AAGUUUGCCUUCACGGCUUUCUGCCAGAAAGCCUUUAGAAGCAGCCAAUAGAAUCAAACAAGGCUUCUGCCAAUGAUGUGCCGUUUUCAUUUUCACCACAAAUCCAGCUCCCAACCAACCUUCCAGAGCUUGCUUCAUUGUUAAGUAUUAAAGUUAUUGACGUUAUACACUUUCAUUAAAUAAAGAAAACCUUUUUGGUUACUGUGUAGCUAAACUACUAUAUCUGGUAUCACUUAAGAAAAACAAAAUCUGACGUUAAGUACGAAAGUUAACAAGCUAACUAGCUAAUGUUAGCUUGCUAGCUACAUUUUUGCAGAAAAUGCUAAGUUAACAUUAACGUUAGUCCCUUAGCAGUUGAAGGCAAAUUUUCGACUAGUCUGCUAAAUUAAAAGCAUUUUAUCACUGGCAGCUAGUGAGAUAAACCAUCUUUUUGUGAGAAACGUUAGUGAUGUUAGGUAAUAAUAAUAUCAAUUGUCUUUCUGUCAGAAAGGUUAGUGCAUUUAUCACUGGUAGCUAAUAAUAUCUAGAGAUGUCACUCAUUUCAAUUGAUGUGAUUACCGCGGUAAUGCCACAGCGACAGAGAAGGGGGGUGAAAUAAUUUAUCCAGGAGUAGCUGCAGUGUGCAUCAAUAACCACCAGGUGGCACAUGUAAUCCAGAUGCAGUGUCUGUUUGUCUCUCUGUAGGGUAGUCAUUGCAAAAUGAUGAGCAUGCUCGGGAAGCAGAUGUGACGAGGGAACAGGGAAACACCGUGAAGCUGUUUGGGAAUGAGUCACAGCACUCUGUUAUAUUUUCUGCCGGAUGUGGGUCCACUAUGGGAAGGCUGAUACAUAAAGUCAUCCUAUGACUGCACCGGGAUAACAGCCAUAGAAACGGCCAGGGGGAACCUAGCAGCUGGUAGUCUGCCGAUUUUAGGACAACGCAGGAGGAGGAAGAUCCUAAAUAUUGAAUGUUCCUGUAUGGCAUUGUCAUUCACGUGACCUCAGUCCAGCUGAGCAGAGUUUCCAGAGGACCAGAGUGGAGAGUUAGUGAGACACCAGGGAAGACAGCUGUGGAUGGCUGGAGUCCCUAACUGUACCUACCAAGACUGGCUUUCACACCGAAACCGCUUUCAGUUUUCAUACACAGCCUGGUCUAAUUCUUCUGUAAGAAAGAAUGCAGCGAUUCAGAGAGGCACCACACAAUACAAUGCCAGACGUCUUAUCAAAGUAUGACAAGAUAUGUGAUAUCAAUACAGCUUUAAACAAGAAGUAAGAAAUCCAAAGCACUUUGAGUCCUGAAUGUAUUAAAUACAUUUUUGUUCAUGCACAGAUGCUGUAAUGUGUAAGAGUACAUUGAUUUAGUUUUGGAUUUAAGCACUGUCUUUUAAUUUAUUAGAUGAUUAGAAGGGAUGGUUAAUCUUUUUACAGUGCACAUAUAAAACAUGUGCAGUAGCUCAUACUGGUCCCAUGAAAUGAAUACUUUAUCAUAAAUCAAUCUGGUAUUGUUUUUGUUUUGGUCUAAGCAGCAGAGGGAGGAGGACAGAGGACAGGAGGACAGACUGCCUGUGCAGACAGCAGCUGUGCACUCGCCCCUUGAAUCAGGUUGUGGUGAAAGAUGGGUUUGAAAUUGUAUGUCGUGUGUGGAUUGUGUGUGUAGAUUGUGUUUCAUAGACAAUCUGGCAACUUGGGUAAUGUGAGACAAAAACUUAUGGAUCAUUCUUAAUAAAGUUUGAAGGCCAUGCAAAUUAUGGGAGUUUCCCGGGAAAAACAACAAACAGUGAGCACAGCAGGAGAUGAGGUGAAAAUACAAGAGAAACCUGGGAAAAAGUGUGGAGGAGUGUUGGAAGGUCUGAUAAGCAUGAAGUGAAAUUUUGAUAU
Long non-coding RNA from Thunnus maccoyii (southern bluefin tuna), 1857 nucleotides. RefSeq lists it as uncharacterized. The record is from RefSeq and is a predicted model, not a curated record. The transcript is spliced from 4 exons. NCBI's taxonomy places the organism in Eukaryota, Metazoa, Chordata, Actinopteri, Scombriformes, Scombridae.